RNAcentral lists this ribosomal RNA (196 nucleotides) under uncultured bacterium. RNAcentral describes it as "partial 16S ribosomal RNA". It matches the Rfam family "Bacterial small subunit ribosomal RNA", at positions 335 to 524 of the family's 1533-position model. The record is from RNAcentral.
ACUCCUACGGGAGGCAGCAGUGGGGAAUAUUGGACAAUGGGCGCAAGCCUGAUCCAGCAAUACCGCGUGUGUGAAGAAGGCCUUAGGGUUGUAAAGCACUUUCAAUUGGGAGGAAAACCUGUCGGUCAAUACCCGGCAGCUUGACAUUACCUUUAGAAGAAGCACCGGCUAACUCCGUGCCAGCAGCCGCGGUAAU